GGCAGUGUGCGGCCGCGUAGCUCGCAACCCUGGGCUGCAAGUGGGGAUGGCGGCGUUUGCGGCGACUGCGGGGAGGCUGUUGGGGCUGCGUGCGGCUGGGACAGAGGGACGGUUGCUUCGGCUGCGAGGCGCGGGGCUGCAGCGGGCCUUGUUGCAGCCCGCCUCGGCCACUGGAGAUGCGGCACAGAGGCGGCAGGUGGCUCACUUCACUUUCCAGCCCGACCCGGAGCCUCAGGAGUAUGGGCAAACUCAGAAAAUGAAUCUUUUCCAGGCGAUAACAAGUGCCUUGGAUAACUCAUUGGCUAAAGAUCCUACGGCAGUAAUAUUUGGUGAAGAUGUUGCCUUUGGUGGAGUCUUUAGAUGUACUGUUGGCUUGCGAGACAAAUAUGGAAAAGAUAGAGUUUUCAACACCCCAUUGUGUGAACAAGGAAUCGUUGGAUUUGGAAUUGGGAUUGCAGUCACUGGGGCUACUGCCAUUGCGGAAAUUCAGUUUGCAGAUUACAUUUUCCCUGCUUUUGAUCAGAUUGUUAAUGAAGCUGCCAAGUACCGCUAUCGCUCUGGAGAUCUUUUUAAUUGUGGAAGCCUCACCAUCCGGGCCCCUUGGGGCUGCGUCGGCCAUGGGGCUCUUUAUCAUUCUCAGAGUCCUGAAGCCUUUUUUGCUCACUGCCCAGGAAUCAAGGUGGUUGUACCCAGAAGCCCUUUCCAGGCCAAAGGACUUCUUUUGUCAUGCAUAGAGGAUAAAAAUCCUUGUAUAUUUUUUGAACCUAAAAUACUUUACAGGGCAGCAGUUGAACAGGUUCCUGUAGAACCAUACCACAUCCCCCUGUCCCAGGCUGAAGUCAUACAGGAAGGGAGUGAUGUUACUCUAGUUGCCUGGGGCACUCAGGUUCAUGUCAUGCGAGAGGUGGCUUCCAUGGCUCAAGAAAAGCUUGGAGUGUCUUGUGAAGUCAUUGAUCUGAAGACCAUACUACCUUGGGACAUGGAUACAGUUUGCAAGAUCCCUCAACUCUGUUCAUGACAUGUUAAGCUCAGCACCAAAAUGCAUCUUUUUGGAAAACCUAAUCAAGAAAAGCCUAUUAAAGGUAAAAAAAAAUCCUUAUUGAAAAUACACAUUAGCACACUAAGCAUAGUAAAAUGACUCUGGGACAGUUGAGGAAUUGGUUAAUGAAGUCUGAAUUUAACUGCAUUUUUAAAAACAUAGUCCUACUUUUUGCUUAAGCCUUGAAGCAUUGUUUGGAAGUUAUAAUUUUGAAAAAUUGCUUGGGGACAGAAAGCAGCAGAGUUUUUGAAUGUUGCUCCAGGGAGCUACAAAAUUGGAGACCUGAGUAGAUCUAAGAACCGUAGUUCAUUUAUUUAAUUCUGAACCUGAUAUUAAAGGGCUAAGCUGGAAACCUCUAAAAAGCAGAAUAAAAAUUCCUGAGUUUUGAGUUGCCUAGGAGACCAAGACCUACCCCGAGGAUUUGGGGUAUGAGUGGGGUGGGGAAGAACAUCAGUGAAGAGAGUUGAAGGCCCUGAAGUGAGUGGCAAAUGGACUCUUUUUACUUGGGGGCACCUGCCAAGUAAGUUUCAACUAGAAAUUGAGAAUCCAAGUGUAUAGACUCCAUAUUUGAUUGGGUUGCAAUGACAGAAUGGGAAACUUGGUGGGAUUGUGUGUGUAUGUGUUAAAUACACAGUUAGUCUUCCAUUAAAGAUAUUUGCCAAAUUUUAAACCUGUGUAUGGUGGGCGCUAAGCAGAAAAUAAAUACCUAAAAGGCCAAGCCAUCACUGGAGACUAAAGUGUCAAAGACCAAUCAUACUCUCAGUUGAAAGCUGUAGAGUCAGGUCUUAGGAUAUGAAUCAAACCAGAAGUAGAUCACAGCUUCCCCAGUCCGCAGCAGUCUCACCCCCUCUCAGUUCCUUUCCUGGAUUAAUGUAACUUACCUUAUGCUCUGUCUGCCCAGCAGAAUGAGGAAACAGUCCUCCCAUCAUCUGGAACCUCUAUGAAUCUGCAUUCAAUAAAAAAUUACUAAGUAUAUGAAGAGACAGGACCAUUUGAUUCAAAACCAAGAAAAAACACAAACAAUAGAAAGCAGAAACACAGGUGAUCCAGAUACUGGAGUUAGCAGACAAGGACUUAUUUAUGUUUAGGAACAUAGAGGAAGAAAAGGAACAAAAGAGUCUGUGAUCAAAACAGGGCGACUGCUAAUCAGUCACGAGGCUCCCUUGACAGGCGGCUUUGCAUCGGAGAUCAGCUCUACGGUUCAG
Molecule: RNA transcript, 2244 nt
Organism: Panthera uncia (snow leopard)
Lineage: Eukaryota; Metazoa; Chordata; Mammalia; Carnivora; Felidae
Gene: BCKDHB
Gene name: branched chain keto acid dehydrogenase E1 subunit beta
Exons: 10
Source: RefSeq, a predicted model, not a curated record